Molecule: non-coding RNA, 133 nt
Organism: Pteropus alecto (black flying fox)
Lineage: Eukaryota; Metazoa; Chordata; Mammalia; Chiroptera; Pteropodidae
Source: Rfam
GCCCUGUGGGUACUGGAUGCUGUUGUGCAGGCAUAGCUCUCCAGGGCAUGUGAGGAGCCAAAGCAAUCCUGUGAUUUAUGCAUGGAGGCUGUUUCUCUGCAGUAGCCACCAUAGCCCUGUCACUGAUACAUGG